This 217-nucleotide long non-coding RNA is filed under the name Musa acuminata (dwarf banana). Its description in RNAcentral is "long non-coding RNA (MACU_LNC006602)". The record is from RNAcentral. Lineage: Eukaryota; Viridiplantae; Streptophyta; Magnoliopsida; Zingiberales; Musaceae.
GGGCUGUGUUCCACCAAGGGAAAAGUUCGAAUGCAAGUACCAGUGAGUCCCAUGGGAGGGACUUGAUCAUGCAGAGGUAUGAUUGAAGCAGCUGGAGAGUUGGACUGCUCCAGAGCUCAUAUUCGCUUAAGGGGGCCCGGCAAGUCAGAGGACCAGGUCGAGUAAGCGAACGUUGCUACCAAGGAAGCUAAGGAGAACAGAAUCGGUGCAAACCCUA